UGCAACUCGCCUACACGAAGUCGGAAUCGCUAGUAAUCGCGGAUCAGCAUGCCGCGGUGAAUACGUUCCCGGGCCUUGUACACACCGCCUGUCACACCAUGGGAGUUUGUAACGCCCAAAGUCGGUGGCCUAACCUUUAUGGAGGGAGCCGCCUAAGGCGGGACAGAUGACUGGGGUGAAGUCGUAACAAGGUACC
This 196-nucleotide ribosomal RNA is filed under the name uncultured bacterium. Its description in RNAcentral is "partial 16S ribosomal RNA". It matches the Rfam family "Bacterial small subunit ribosomal RNA", at positions 1306 to 1500 of the family's 1533-position model. The record is from RNAcentral.